UUCAUAGUGAUCUUCCUCUGUUGACAGUGCAAUGGUCGUGAGGAAGACGUGUAGCUGUAGUUGCUUUUCAGAUCGUGGGUGUGGAAGGAGCCAGCGAUCAUGCCUGAAGAGCGAAGAAACUGUUGCUUCAUCUUGAACUCCAAGUGAGAAGUUUGAGUCAUUGACAAGAAACCUCUGCAACGAGCCAAAAGGUGACCAAUUAUCUGUCCAAAACCUUGCUGUAUUGCCAUUCCCUAUCCUUAGCUUGAUCCAAUUAUAGACCUCUCCCCUCAGCUUUAGUAGUUUGUUGACUAACCAUGAGUUCCGUGUGCUAGGUUGAAUCGUCCAGAAUGAGCUGAGAUUCCCAUCAAGCA
Molecule: long non-coding RNA, 353 nt
Filed under: Brassica napus (rape)
Lineage: Eukaryota; Viridiplantae; Streptophyta; Magnoliopsida; Brassicales; Brassicaceae
Description: long non-coding RNA (BNAP_LNC025170)
Source: RNAcentral